RNAcentral lists this ribosomal RNA (468 nucleotides) under uncultured bacterium. RNAcentral describes it as "partial 16S ribosomal RNA". It matches the Rfam family "Bacterial small subunit ribosomal RNA", at positions 28 to 507 of the family's 1533-position model. The record is from RNAcentral.
GACGAACGCUGGCGGCGUGCUUAACACAUGCAAGUCGAACGGAAAGGCCCUGCUUUUGUGGGGUGCUCGAGUGGCGAACGGGUGAGUAACACGUGAGUAACCUGCCCUUGACUUUGGGAUAACUUCAGGAAACUGGGGCUAAUACCGGAUAGGAGCUCCUGCUGCAUGGUGGGGGUUGGAAAGUUUCGGCGGUUGGGGAUGGACUCGCGGCUUAUCAGCUUGUUGGUGGGGUAGUGGCUUACCAAGGCUUUGACGGGUAGCCGGCCUGAGAGGGUGACCGGCCACAUUGGGACUGAGAUAGGGACCAGUCUCCUACGGAAGGCAGCAGUGGGGUGUAUUACACUGUGAACGGAACCCUGAUGCCGCAACGCCGCGUGCGGGAUGACGUCCUUCAGGUUGUAAUCCGCUUUCGCCUGUGACGAGGCGUGAGUGACGGUAAUGGGUAAAGAAGCACCGGCUAACUACGUG